UACGUAGGGUGCGAGCGUUAAUCGGACUUACUGGGCGUAAAGCGUGCGCAGGCGGUUUUGCAAGACAGAUGUGAAAUCCCCGGGCUUAACCUGGGAACUGCAUUUGUGACUGCACGGCUGGAGUGCGGGAGAGGGGGAUGGAAUUCCGCGUGUAGCAGUGAAAUGCGUAGAUAUGCGGAGGAACACCGAUGGCGAAGGCAAUCCCCUGGGCCUGCACUGACGCUCAUGCACGAAAGCGUGGGGAGCAAACAGG
This 253-nucleotide ribosomal RNA is filed under the name uncultured bacterium. Its description in RNAcentral is "partial 16S ribosomal RNA". It matches the Rfam family "Bacterial small subunit ribosomal RNA", at positions 524 to 776 of the family's 1533-position model. The record is from RNAcentral.